UACGGGGGGGGCAAGCGUUGUUCGGAAUUACUGGGCGUAAAGGGCCAGUAGGCGGCCAACUAAGUCCGACGUGAAAUCCCAAGGCUUAACCUUGGAACUGCGUCGGAUACUGGAUGGCUUGAAUUCGGGAGAGGGAUGCAGAAUUCCAGGUGUAGCGGUGAAAUGCGUAGAUAUCAGGAAGAACACCCGUGGCGAAGGCGGUUCUCUGGGACGGUACUGACGCUGAGACGCGAAAGCGUGGGGAGCGAGCAGG
Molecule: ribosomal RNA, 253 nt
Filed under: uncultured bacterium
Lineage: Bacteria
Description: partial 16S ribosomal RNA
Rfam family: Bacterial small subunit ribosomal RNA
Source: RNAcentral